This 918-nucleotide long non-coding RNA is filed under the name Arabidopsis lyrata. RNAcentral describes it as "long non-coding RNA (ALYR_LNC001280)". Lineage: Eukaryota; Viridiplantae; Streptophyta; Magnoliopsida; Brassicales; Brassicaceae. The record is from RNAcentral.
CAAAUCCAUUAUUAUCGAUGGUGAUUAAGCGGAGAGUGAAGCCACGCGCUCAGCAACAAAAUCCUUAAUCCGCAUAAUUAACUGACCCGACUCCGGUAAUUCAGGGAAAAUAUAAAAAGCAUGAAACAUGUUUGGAUACUCGAUUAACGUUGCUCUUUUCCCGGAUAACUUUAUCCACUCGUAGUAACUUCUUUGCCAAUCUUGUAACGGAUCAAACCCAGCAACAACCACCAUCGUCUCCGGAUACUCCAGAUCCGAUAUAUCCACCGCGUUUGGUCCGCCAACGUUAACCGCUUCAUGAUCCCGGUUUAAUCCCAUCGCUUUCCAGCACCAAUCUGUUCGGCCCGGUGAAACCAGAGGAGCUCCGACGAGUCGUUUCUCCGCCUCCGUUCUCUCUUCUCCGCCGAAGAAAGGUUGGAUCGAGAUGAGUCCGAUGAGUUUCACGGCCGUGAAACAUCCCCGCGGUUCACGGCAAAUUCGAACCGCGACGUUGUGAGCGAUGUUUCCACCAGCGCUGUCUCCGGCGAAGAAGCAUCUCGACAGAUCAGCGUUCGCCGGAAGAACCUUGCCGUGAUUCUCCUCGAGGAACUUCAAAGCAUCGUAUCCGUCGUCGUAUUGAGCAGGAUAACGAUGCUCUGGAGCGAGACGGUAGUUAACGGAGAUGACGUAAGCAGGCAAUUUCCUAGCGAAUCUCCGGCAUACAUUAUCGUAAGGAUACGCAUUAGGACUGAGGAAAGCGAAACCACCGCCGUGGAAGAAAACAACGACGGGGAUUUUAUCGCCGGAGACGUGUGGAGUGUACAAUCGGAACCAGAGAUCACGAGAUUGAUCCACGACGAAAUCGGAGGUGGAGACGGAGUUGACAGGUUUAGGAUUGGGAGGAGCACGGAAAUCGAAGAGGCGGAGGAAACGGCGGUU